Molecule: ribosomal RNA, 251 nt
Filed under: uncultured bacterium
Lineage: Bacteria
Description: partial 16S ribosomal RNA
Rfam family: Bacterial small subunit ribosomal RNA
Source: RNAcentral
ACGUAUGGAGCAAGCGUUAUCCGGAUUUACUGGGUGUAAAGGGAGCGUAGGCGGUCCUGCAAGUCUGAUGUGAAAACCCGGGGCUCAACCCCGGGACUGCAUUGGAAACUGUAGGACUAGAGUGUCGGAGGGGUAAGUGGAAUUCCUAGUGUAGCGGUGAAAUGCGUAGAUAUUAGGAGGAACACCAGUGGCGAAGGCGGCUUACUGGACGACCACUGACGCUGAGGCUCGAAAGCGUGGGGAGCAAACAG